This 118-nucleotide ribosomal RNA is filed under the name Burkholderia multivorans. RNAcentral's name for it is "partial 16S ribosomal RNA". It matches the Rfam family "Bacterial small subunit ribosomal RNA", at positions 1416 to 1533 of the family's 1533-position model. The record is from RNAcentral. Lineage: Bacteria; Pseudomonadati; Pseudomonadota; Betaproteobacteria; Burkholderiales; Burkholderiaceae.
UUUACCAGAAGUGGCUAGUCUAACCGUAAGGAGGACGGUCACCACGGUAGGAUUCAUGACUGGGGUGAAGUCGUAACAAGGUAGCCGUAUCGGAAGGUGCGGCUGGAUCACCUCCUUU